Molecule: long non-coding RNA, 367 nt
Organism: Limulus polyphemus (Atlantic horseshoe crab)
Lineage: Eukaryota; Metazoa; Arthropoda; Merostomata; Xiphosura; Limulidae
Exons: 2
Source: RefSeq, a predicted model, not a curated record
AGUUCUAAGGUUUCUUGGCAUAUAAAAGUGGGUGGUAAUGCUGACGGCUCAAAUAACUUUGACGAACUAAGCUUUAGUAAAACAUGUAUGGCUUACAAAUAAAUGAUCUGAUGGGGCUUGAAUAUUUCCUGCCCUCGAAGGCUGUUUACCAAUCAGCGUGAAGCUCCCCGCCGCUUCCAUAUAACAUGUGAGAAUGACCGAACGAAGGCCACUCGUCUAUCUACUGUCACCUGCGUGCAAGGCAGCUGCUUUCUAUGGAAACAGAAGUCGCCGCAAUACAGCCUUCUCAGGCUCACUCAGAACACUGUGGCGUGAUUAGAAUACAAGACUGCUAUCUUGCGCUGAGGAAAUGACAGUUCCGAAAUAA